This 956-nucleotide long non-coding RNA is filed under the name Anser brachyrhynchus (Pink-footed goose). RNAcentral describes it as "lncRNA (ENSABRG00000003097.1)". The record is from RNAcentral. Lineage: Eukaryota; Metazoa; Chordata; Aves; Anseriformes; Anatidae.
AUUAGCUCUCAUUAUUGAGGUAGCAUCCCAGGCCAAUUUUGGUGUACAGCAAUGAGGGCAGCAGCAGGGGACAUUAAGCUGAGUUAGGUAAAAAGGCAAAUCAAGCAACUUCACCUAUAAGUAGACAGCUUUGCUGCUCAGGGCUUCAAGUUGGGCAUUACAGCUCAGAUGCCACAGCAACUGUUUGAAACCACUGUGCUGGCAGCCCGUGGCUCUGCUUUCCAUCAGAGGACACAGACUGCAGUGUCAACAAUAAGGAAAAAAGUGAUUAAAUGAGGAGGAAAAGUGUACGAAACGAUGUCAGAGGUUCUUCACUCCAGUACAGCUGAUGUGACUCAGUUCUACAGAAAGAGCUGUAGCCCAGCUCUUCACCCAGGGAGGGCCUGCAACUCUUCACUGGUCGCAGGUAACAUCUCACAGGUUGCAGCUUAGAUUUUCCCUCAUGGAUUUGUAUGUGCAAUGUAAUACCAGCUUUUCAAAUUGACAAAUGGGUUUUCUACACACUUGCAUUCAAUCUCAACAAAGUACUGGGAAAGGAUUUGAUAAGAAGUAAGAACAGACUUUUCUCAAGACAAUGCAGCUAUAAACAAGAGUCAGGAAAACAGAUUAAUUUAGUGGUCAGAUAAUCUUUGAAAAUCCUUGGAUUGACUAUGGUAUAUAUCUGACUAUGUACUGGCAUUUGAAAAAGAAAAUGGAAAAUUAGAUUUUGGCUACAGUACUUGUUUCCUUCUGUUUUUCUUGUAGUCUAAACACGCAAAUCCAUACAGUGUAGUGGAAAUUUAGCAGUCAUAUUAUGUAGCUAUUAACACCAGAAAACUUUCUAUGACCAUGGUACAGCAUAAAAAAAUAAUCAAAAUCUACCAACACUUCCUCACGGUGGAUCAUAUAUUCUAAAUGUAGCUGGUUCUCUGAUGCCGUGCCUUGAAGCUGUGAAUAAACCCUGAUACUUAAAGACA